UUUAACGAUAUAAACAGUUUGGUGGAACCGACCCUUAAUCUUACUCUAUGGUCAUACCUAAAUUAAAAUAUUUUACAGGAAGAAGUAACUGAACUGGCUGUACUACCGACACUUGAUAAUGAUGACAGCCCAUCUAUUUUUAUACUACAUGAUGAGUUUGCUCAACAAACUUGUUCCAAUGUUGAAGAUUGGAAUCGGCCAGGGACAUCAGCUCGACCCCCAGUUUUUCCACCCUUACCUGUGGACAGGAAUAACCAAGACUUGGCGGGCAGAGAGGAGCCUGGAAUAGUUAACAGCCCAGACAGGAGUGAGGCCGGCAUGACACAGACGCAGGAGCCUGCGGCUCGGGCCGCGCGGAUGCUAGACAGGAGUGAGGCCGGCAUGACACAG
This is a long non-coding RNA of Cydia fagiglandana, 390 nucleotides long. RefSeq lists it as uncharacterized. The record is from RefSeq and is a predicted model, not a curated record. The transcript is spliced from 3 exons. Lineage: Eukaryota; Metazoa; Arthropoda; Insecta; Lepidoptera; Tortricidae.